CAGAACCAGGACCGUUUUUUAAAUCACCAGCACAGAGUCAGGACAAUUUCGUUUAGCGAACUUGCACGACUUUUGCAAUAAAAUAUUGUUGUAAUAUGCUUUUUAUGGUACUUAUGACGUAUCAGAGAAAAAUUAAGCAACAGAACGGUUGUUUUAUUGCCAUUCUGAUACAAUGUAAACAAACCCACCAGCACAGAAUCAGGACCCACCAGCACCAGUCAGGACCGAAUCACCAGCACAGAACGUUCUCUCGCAGGAC
This 259-nucleotide long non-coding RNA is filed under the name Mytilus galloprovincialis (Mediterranean mussel). Lineage: Eukaryota; Metazoa; Mollusca; Bivalvia; Mytilida; Mytilidae. The record is from RNAcentral.